AGAUUGAACGCUGGCGGCAGGCCUAACACAUGCAAGUCGAGCGGCAGCACGGGUACUUGUACCUGGUGGCGAGCGGCGGACGGGUGAGUAAUGCCUAGGAAUCUGCCUGGUAGUGGGGGAUAACGCUCGGAAACGGACGCUAAUACCGCAUACGUCCUACGGGAGAAAGCAGGGGACCUUCGGGCCUUGCGCUAUCAGAUGAGCCUAGGUCGGAUUAGCUAGUUGGUGGGUAAUGGCUCACCAAGGCGACGAUCCGUAACUGGUCUGAGAGGAUGAUCAGUCACGCUGGAACUGAGACACGGUCCAGACUCCUACGGGAGCAGCGAGG
RNAcentral lists this ribosomal RNA (328 nucleotides) under uncultured soil bacterium. Its description in RNAcentral is "bacterial SSU rRNA". It matches the Rfam family "Bacterial small subunit ribosomal RNA", at positions 26 to 357 of the family's 1533-position model. The record is from RNAcentral.